CCGGAUAACAUGUUGAACCGCAUGGUUCUACAGUGAAAGACGGUCUUGCUGUCACUUAUAGAUGGACCCGCGCCGUAUUAGCUAGUUGGUGGGGUAACGGCCUACCAAGGCGACGAUACGUAGCCGACCUGAGAGGGUGAUCGGCCACACUGGAACUGAGACACGGUCCAGACUCCUACGGGAGGCAGCAGUAGGGAAUCUUCCGCAAUGGGCGAAAGCCUGACGGAGCAACGCCGCGUGAGUGAUGAAGGUCUUCGGAUCGUAAAGCUCUGUUGUUAGGGAAGAACAAAUGUGUAAGUAACUGUGCACAUCUUGACGGUACCUAACCAGAAAGCCACGGCUAACUACGUGCCAGCAGCCGCGGUAAUACGUAGGUGGCAAGCGUUAUCCGGAAUUAUUGGGCGUAAAGCGCGCGUAGGCGGUUUUUUAAGUCUGAUGUGAAAGCCCACGGCUCAACCGUGGAGGGUCAUUGGAAACUGGAAAACUUGAGUGCAGAAGAGGAAAGUGGAAUUCCAUGUGUAGCGGUGAAAUGCGCAGAGAUAUGGAGGAACACCAGUGGCGAAGGCGGCUUUCUGGUCUGCAACUGACGCUGAUGUGCGAAAGCGUGGGGAUCAAACAGGAUUAGAUACCCUGGUAGUCCACGCCGUAAACGAUGAGUGCUAAGUGUUAGGGGGUUUCCGCCCCUUAGUGCUGCAGCUAACGCAUUAAGCACUCCGCCUGGGGAGUACGGUCGCAAGACUGAAACUCAAAGGAAUUGACGGGGACCCGCACAAGCGGUGGAGCAUGUGGUUUAAUUCGAAGCAACGCGAAGAACCUUACCAAAUCUUGACAUCCUUUGACCGCUCUAGAGAUAGAGUUUUCCUCUUCGGAGGACAAAGUGACAGGUGGUGCAUGGUUGUCGUCAGCUCGUGUCGUGAGAUGUUGGGUUAAGUCCCGCAACGAGCGCAACCCUUGAACUUAGUUGCCAUCAUUCAGUUGGGCACUCUAAGUUGACUGCCGGUGACAAACCGGAGGAAGGUGGGGAUGACGUCAAAUCAUCAUGCCCCUUAUGAUUUGGGCUACACACGUGCUACAAUGGACAAUACAAAGGGCAGCGAAACCGCGAGGUCAAGCAAAUCCCAUAAAGUUGUUCUCAGUUCGGAUUGUAGUCUGCAACUCGACUACAUGAAGCUGGAAUCGCUAGUAAUCGUAGAUCAGCAUGCUACGGUGAAUACGUUCCCGGGUCUUGUACACACCGCCCGUCACACCACGAGAGUUUGUAACACCCGAAGCCGGUGGAGUAACCAUUUUGGAGCUAGCCGUCGAAGGUGGGACAAAUGAUUGGGGUGAAGUCGUAACAAGGUAGCCGUAUCGGAAGGUGCGGCUGGAUCACCUCCUUUCUA
RNAcentral lists this ribosomal RNA (1382 nucleotides) under Staphylococcus pseudintermedius. RNAcentral's name for it is "bacterial SSU rRNA". It matches the Rfam family "Bacterial small subunit ribosomal RNA", at positions 169 to 1533 of the family's 1533-position model. Lineage: Bacteria; Bacillati; Bacillota; Bacilli; Caryophanales; Staphylococcaceae. The record is from RNAcentral.